Molecule: ribosomal RNA, 467 nt
Filed under: uncultured bacterium
Lineage: Bacteria
Description: partial 16S ribosomal RNA
Rfam family: Bacterial small subunit ribosomal RNA
Source: RNAcentral
GACGAACGCUGGCGGCGUGCUUAACACAUGCAAGUCGAACGGAAAGGCCCUGCUUUUGUGGGGUGCUCGAGUGGCGAACGGGUGAGUAACACGUGAGUAACCUGCCCUUGACUUUGGGAUAACUUCAGGAAACUGGGGCUAAUACCGGAUAGGAGCUCCUGCUGCAUGGUGGGGGUUGGAAAGUUUCGGCGGUUGGGGAUGGACUCGCGGCUUAUCAGCUUGUUGGUGGGGUAGUGGCUUACCAAGGCUUUGACGGGUAGCCGGCCUGAGAGGGUGACCGGCCACAUUGGGACUGAGAUACGGCCCAGACUCCUACGGGAGGCAGCAGUGGGGAAUAUUGCACAAUGGGCGGAAGCCUGAUGCAGCAACGCCGCGUGCGGGAUGACGGCCUUCGGGUUGUAGACCGCUUUCGCCUGUGACGAAGCGUGAGUGACGGUAAUGGGUAAAGAAGCACCGGCUAACUACGU